Non-coding RNA from Triticum aestivum (bread wheat), 126 nucleotides. NCBI's taxonomy places the organism in Eukaryota, Viridiplantae, Streptophyta, Magnoliopsida, Poales, Poaceae. The record is from Rfam.
UUAGUACUCCCUUCGUCCGAAAAUACUUGUCGAAGAAAUGGAUAAAAAUGGAUGCAUCUAAAAACUAAAAUACGUCUAGAUACAUCCAUUCCUCCGACAAGUAUUUUCGGACGGAGGGAGUAGUUC